RNAcentral lists this ribosomal RNA (506 nucleotides) under Alpheidae sp. BOLD:ACR8483. RNAcentral's name for it is "partial 16S ribosomal RNA". It matches the Rfam family "Bacterial large subunit ribosomal RNA", at positions 1830 to 2595 of the family's 2925-position model. Lineage: Eukaryota; Metazoa; Arthropoda; Malacostraca; Decapoda; Alpheidae. The record is from RNAcentral.
UCCUCAUGAAGAAAUUUGAGGUCUAGCCUGCCCACUGAAUAUAAUUUUAAAGGGCCGCGGUAUUUUAACCGUGCGAAGGUAGCAUAGUCAAUAGUCUUUUAAUUGGAGGCUUGAAUGAACGGUUGGACAUAAGGAAAACUGUCUCCAAUGUGUUUGGGUGAAUUUAACCUUUGUGUGAAAAGGCAUUAAUGAUUUAAGGGGACGAUAAGACCCUAUAAAACUUGAUAACUAACCUAGGCUUCGUGAUUUUAGUUUAAUUUAAAGUUUAGUGUAGUUUAUUGUGCUGGGGCGGCAGGAAUAAAACUUGUAACUGUUCUUAAAUUUAAAUAAUUAUAAUUAGGUGUUGACCCUGAAUUUUGGGUUAAAAGACUAAGUUACUUUAGGGAUAACAGCGUUAUUUCUCUUGAGAGUUCAUAUCGACAGAGAUGUUUGCGACCUCGAUGUUGAAUUAAAGUUUUCCCCGGGAGUAGAAGUUCGGGAGGUAGGUCUGUUCGACCUUUAAAAUU